This 253-nucleotide ribosomal RNA is filed under the name uncultured bacterium. Its description in RNAcentral is "partial 16S ribosomal RNA". It matches the Rfam family "Bacterial small subunit ribosomal RNA", at positions 524 to 776 of the family's 1533-position model. The record is from RNAcentral.
UACGUAGGGGGCUAGCGUUGUCCGGAUUUACUGGGCGUAAAGAGCGCGCAGGCGGUCGAUCAAGUCGAGUGUGAAAGCCCCCGGCUCAACUGGGGAGGGUCAUUCGAUACUGAUCGACUCGAAGGCAGGAGAGGGUAGUGGAAUUCCUGGUGUAGCGGUGAAAUGCGCAGAUAUCAGGAGGAACACCGGUGGCGAAGGCGGGUCUCUGGGCCGAUACUGACGCUGAGGAGCGAAAGCGUGGGGAGCGAACAGG